GAAUUACUCCCUUCGUUCGGAAUUACUUGUCACAAAAAUGGAUGUAUCUACAACUAAAAUACGUCUAGAUACAUUUAUUUCUUGGACGAGUAAUACCGAACGGAGGGAGUAUAAG
Triticum aestivum (bread wheat) is the source of this 115-nucleotide non-coding RNA. The record is from Rfam. Lineage: Eukaryota; Viridiplantae; Streptophyta; Magnoliopsida; Poales; Poaceae.